This 353-nucleotide unclassified non-coding RNA is filed under the name soil metagenome. Its description in RNAcentral is "partial contains 5.8S ribosomal RNA, internal transcribed spacer 2, and large subunit ribosomal RNA". The stretch from base 1 to 120 matches the Rfam family "5.8S ribosomal RNA", at positions 35 to 154 of the family's 154-position model. The record is from RNAcentral.
GAUGAAGAACGUAGUGAAAUGCGAUAAGUAAUGUGAAUUGCAGAAUUCAGUGAAUCAUCGAAUCUUUGAACGCACAUUGCGCCCGCCAGUAUUCUGGCGGGCAUGCCUGUUCGAGCGUCAUUACAACCCUCAGGCCCCCGGGCCUGGCGUUGGGGAUCGGCGGAAGCCCCCUGCGGGCACAACGCCGUCCCCCAAAUACAGUGGCGGUCCCGCCGCAGCUUCCAUUGCGUAGUAGCUAACACCUCGCAACUGGAGAGCGGCGCGGCCACGCCGUAAAACACCCAACUUCUGAAUGUUGACCUCGAAUCAGGUAGGAAUACCCGCAGAACUUAAGCAUAUCAAUAAGCGGAGGA